UAAGUAAGCGGAGGAGAAGAAACUAAAUAGGAUUCCUUCAGUAAUGGCGAAUGAACAGGGAUCGGCUCAGCAUGGAAAUUGGGGCCCCUGGCCCUGAAUUGUAGUCUCAAGAUGUACUGCCAACGGAGGCGCAGAUGUAAGCCUCUUGGAAAAGAGCAUCAGCGAGGGUGACAAUCCCGCUUGCCAUCUGCAGCCCCCCGUGCACGGUGUACCUUCUAAGAGUCACGUUCCUCGGGAUUGGAGCGCAAAGUGGGUGGUAAAUUUCAUCUACAGCUAAAUACUGGUUCGAGACCGAUAGCAAACAAGUACCAUGAGGGAAAGGUGAAAAGGACUUUGAAAAAGAGAGUUAGAAGUGCCUGAACUUGCUGAAAGGGAAGCGAAUGGAACCAGUGUUGCUUGGCAAGAUUGCUGUGCACCACUGUGAGGGUCUGCUAUGCUAGCGCAAGUGGUGUGGUAGACUUUGAGCAGGACCUGCACGGUGUUUCUUGCCUUGUGUGUCAGCGUCAGUUCGCGCUUGGGGAAGACGUCAAGGACAUGGUAGCCUGCCCACGGGCAUGUGAACGUGCUUGCUCGAACCUCAUGCGGGAACUGCACGGUGACGAAAUAGUUCCUUUUCGACCCG
RNAcentral lists this ribosomal RNA (622 nucleotides) under Vulcanodinium rugosum. RNAcentral describes it as "partial large subunit ribosomal RNA". It matches the Rfam family "Eukaryotic large subunit ribosomal RNA", at positions 43 to 651 of the family's 3401-position model. Lineage: Eukaryota; Dinophyceae; Peridiniales. The record is from RNAcentral.